RNAcentral lists this ribosomal RNA (249 nucleotides) under uncultured prokaryote. Its description in RNAcentral is "partial 16S ribosomal RNA". It matches the Rfam family "Bacterial small subunit ribosomal RNA", at positions 524 to 772 of the family's 1533-position model. The record is from RNAcentral.
UACGGAGGAUGCAAGCGUUAUCCGGAUUUAUUGGGUUUAAAGGGUGCGCAGGUUGUUUGAUAAGUCAGUGGUGAAAGUCUGUCGCUUAACGGUAGGAUUGCAAUUGAUACUGUUGGACUUGAAUAUGGAUGAGGUAGGCGGAAUGUGUAGUGUAGCGGUGAAAUGCAUAGAUAUUACACAGAACACCGAUUGCGAAGGCAGCUUACUAAUCCAUCAUUGACGCUGAGGCACGAAAGCGUGGGGAUCAAA